This 884-nucleotide ribosomal RNA is filed under the name Enterococcus faecium. RNAcentral describes it as "bacterial SSU rRNA". It matches the Rfam family "Bacterial small subunit ribosomal RNA", at positions 1 to 866 of the family's 1533-position model. Lineage: Bacteria; Bacillati; Bacillota; Bacilli; Lactobacillales; Enterococcaceae. The record is from RNAcentral.
UUUUUUUUUCUGCUCAGGACGAACGCUGGCGGCGUGCCUAAUACAUGCAAGUCGAACGCUUCUUUUUCCACCGGAGCUUGCUCCACCGGAAAAAGAGGAGUGGCGAACGGGUGAGUAACACGUGGGUAACCUGCCCAUCAGAAGGGGAUAACACUUGGAAACAGGUGCUAAUACCGUAUAACAAUCGAAACCGCAUGGUUUUGAUUUGAAAGGCGCUUUCGGGUGUCGCUGAUGGAUGGACCCGCGGUGCAUUAGCUAGUUGGUGAGGUAACGGCUCACCAAGGCCACGAUGCAUAGCCGACCUGAGAGGGUGAUCGGCCACAUUGGGACUGAGACACGGCCCAAACUCCUACGGGAGGCAGCAGUAGGGAAUCUUCGGCAAUGGACGAAAGUCUGACCGAGCAACGCCGCGUGAGUGAAGAAGGUUUUCGGAUCGUAAAACUCUGUUGUUAGAGAAGAACAAGGAUGAGAGUAACUGUUCAUCCCUUGACGGUAUCUAACCAGAAAGCCACGGCUAACUACGUGCCAGCAGCCGCGGUAAUACGUAGGUGGCAAGCGUUGUCCGGAUUUAUUGGGCGUAAAGCGAGCGCAGGCGGUUUCUUAAGUCUGAUGUGAAAGCCCCCGGCUCAACCGGGGAGGGUCAUUGGAAACUGGGAGACUUGAGUGCAGAAGAGGAGAGUGGAAUUCCAUGUGUAGCGGUGAAAUGCGUAGAUAUAUGGAGGAACACCAGUGGCGAAGGCGGCUCUCUGGUCUGUAACUGACGCUGAGGCUCGAAAGCGUGGGGAGCAAACAGGAUUAGAUACCCUGGUAGUCCACGCCGUAAACGAUGAGUGCUAAGUGUUGGAGGGUUUCCGCCCUUCAGUGCUGCAGCUAACGCAUAAGCA